GAUGAACGCUGGCGGCGUGCUUAACACAUGCAAGUCGAACGAAGCAUUUAGAACGGAUUACUUCGGUUUGAAGUUCUUUAUGACUGAGUGGCGGACGGGUGAGUAACGCGUAGGAACGUGUCUAGAGGUGGGGGACAACCCUGGGAAACUGGGGCUAAUACCGCAUAUGGGCUGAGGCCCAAAGCAGUGAUGCGCCUUUGGAGCGGCCUGCGUCCGAUUAGGUAGUUGGUGGGGUAAAGGCCUACCAAGCCUGCGAUCGGUAGCUGGUCUGAGAGGACGAUCAGCCACACUGGGACUGAGACACGGCCCAGACUCCUACGGGAGGCAGCAGUGGGGAAUAUUGGACAAUGGGCGCAAGCCUGAUCCAGCAAUGCCGCGUGUGUGAAGAAGGUCUUCGGAUCGUAAAGCAACUUUCGACAGGGACGAUGAUGACGGUACCUGUAGAAGAAGCCCCGGCUAACUUCGUGCCAGCAGCCGCGGUAAUAGUACUCUA
RNAcentral lists this ribosomal RNA (493 nucleotides) under uncultured bacterium. RNAcentral describes it as "bacterial SSU rRNA". It matches the Rfam family "Bacterial small subunit ribosomal RNA", at positions 28 to 530 of the family's 1533-position model. The record is from RNAcentral.